Gossypium arboreum is the source of this 714-nucleotide long non-coding RNA. RefSeq lists it as uncharacterized. The record is from RefSeq and is a predicted model, not a curated record. The transcript is spliced from 2 exons. Lineage: Eukaryota; Viridiplantae; Streptophyta; Magnoliopsida; Malvales; Malvaceae.
GGUUUUUUUAAAAAAAAAACUAAAAAAUUCUCUGAGAGAGGGGAGAGGAAAGGCCCUCUGGGCUGUGGCCUCCGUCAGGCCAAGCUCCGGUUAUCGGCCAUACACGCGCCCACGCACCACCUCUCACACCACCACACGCGGCCGUUGGUGGUCAAAAAUCUAGAUUUCAGGCGAAAAAUAGAAAGGUGACCGCGAGGAUCUCGGUGAUUCAAGGGCCGCUGGCGUGAUGAAGCGCCGAUGGUGGCACAAUCCAAGGCUAGGACUACUACGGGGCAAUGAUCUCGGCAGCGAAAUGGUUGCUGGAACAGAGUCGAUUGGGCCUUGAUUCAGGAGCUGGACGGUCGUGAGAGAGACAAGCUUCUGGACAACACAUUAAUGGUGUGUCAACAGUGCAUUGAUGGCCUCGAUUUGGGGGGUUGAACAGAUGCUCCCCGAGGCUUCCAAAAGAUGUUGCAGCGCAUCAGUCUUCAAGAAACCCUAGGGUUUCCUGUUUCCCUUAAGUCAUUUGGGCCUUUUGGGCUGCUUUUAGAUUUGGGUUAGCCUGGUAGAUCAAGUGUUUUUAGGGGUCUGCUGUGUAACGGGUUUUAAAAUUUGGGCCCGAUGUGGGGUUUGGGUCGGUCUGUUAUGUCUAGACAUUGGGCCCAAUGUUUGGGCUUUGUAACCUGGACUUUUUUAAUGGACUGUUUAAUAAAUAAAUAUUUAUUUAUUUUCUUA